Molecule: ribosomal RNA, 460 nt
Filed under: uncultured eubacterium WJGRT-64
Lineage: Bacteria
Description: bacterial SSU rRNA
Rfam family: Bacterial small subunit ribosomal RNA
Source: RNAcentral
GGCAUGCUUACACAUGCAAGUCGAACGGCAGCGCGGGAGCAAUCCUGGCGGCGAGUGGCGAACGGGUGAGUAAUACAUCGGAACGUGCCCAAUCGUGGGGGAUAACGCAGCGAAAGCUGUGCUAAUACCGCAUACGAUCUACGGAUGAAAGCAGGGGAUCGCAAGACCUUGCGCGAAUGGAGCGGCCGAUGGCAGAUUAGGUAGUUGGUGAGGUAAAGGCUCACCAAGCCUUCGAUCUGUAGCUGGUCUGAGAGGGGCGACCAGCCACACUGGGACUGAGACACGGCCCAGACUCCUACGGGAGGCAGCAGUGGGGAAUUUUGGACAAUGGGCGCAAGCCUGAUCCAGCCAUGCCGCGUGCAGGAUGAAGGCCUUCGGGGUUGUAAACUGCUUUUGUACGGAACGAAACGGGCCUUUUCUAAUAAAGAGGGGCUAAUGACGGUACCGUAAGAAUAUGGCC